AAGCAUUUUCAGUGCUUUCACGUUUCACCAUGUGCUGGUUACGGAUCUGUGAGCCCAAAUCAGAAGGCAGAAUAUGAUCACCUCUGUUGUGGAUGUGCAGAAACAACUGGACUACUUCUACAUUUCUGUUGGUGAAUGUUACUAUCUAGACUAACCUGGUAAAACUUCCCUCGAAGAGCAUGUGUCAAGAACAGCUCCUACCCCGUGUGCUCCCAUGCAGCCACGCCAAGAGCUGCAGUGAAGCACCAUGCUGUGACCGUGAGGCCUCCUUUUCUGGAGCUUGUGGGUGAUUGCUUAGGAGAUUUUUAUUUCACAAGCUUGAUCCCCAAAAAAGCCCAUGUGAAAGCAACCUGUGAAUUGUGCUUCAUCCUUGAAACCAAACCAACAGCACCUGUUUGUUCACCUCUGUCAUGUACCUCCUAAAAAGGUGGGUUUUCAGAUGCACCAAGCAAAGUUUUAAAAUCAUCUAGAUGUAGAACUGUUUCUGUGAUAUCUCCUUCAUUCCAUGUAUAUCUGUCAGUUUACUCAUACUAAACUCUACUGAUUUUGACAAGACAGAGCUUUCAGCAGCAGCCCAGGAUCUCCAGAUUUUUCUCACUGUGGAUGGACUUCCAGGGUGACUGGAGUUCAAGUCCUUUGCAUCUUAGAAAUGCCUCCUCUGUGAGCAGAUGGUGUCAAAAUGUCUGUUUUUAAUGUACAGUUCAAACGUAUGCCUAGAGCAAAUAAACACACGUCUAAAGAAGCUGGGAGCCUUGCAGUCGUAAUCCAAGUCAUUUGUGCCCUGGUGGUCCUGCCUGUUUUCAGGCACCCCAAAAGUGGUCCUAAGCCAGAGAAGUGAAGAGCAUCUCUCAGCACUCUCAGUAGGCUCUGCAGCUGAGCCGCUGCACAUGGAGUUGUGGCCAGUGGAAGUUCAGACUACAAAGGCUUUCUUGAGUGUGUAUUUUAAAUGUGUGGAGAGGAAAAAGCUACCCAGGGAAAGAGCCUGAGGCUGGAGCUUGCCGAGAACACCAUGUGGAAAUGGUUUGCUCAGCUGCCAUUGCUCAGCAGGGAAGUUUUCCUAGGUCUGAACAGGAUUCAGCUAAACGGUCCCUGCUGGCUGCUUUAAAGGCCUGAAGCCUGUGACCAUGUGAAAUGUGAGAAUGCAGAGCUUUGGCCAUCCCUUUAACUUCAGCUCUCCUGUAAGGCUGCCUCUCUCCUCACGAGGUGUGGAAAAUGCAAAUCCUGAAUGCUGAACACUGGUUUCUCCUGAAAAUGUUAUGUGUUUGAACAUGGAGUAAAAUCCCUUGCAAACUCUUUAUGCUGAUGUCCUUAGAGAGAUGUGACUUCUUUGGCUGAUCCAUGGAAGGAGAAACCAAGACAAGAAGACAGCCUUGGUUGUAGGUGAAGCCAGGACAGGCAGAACAGGAGUCUGCAGCAGCCAAGAAUUUGACUCAUGAGAGCUGUUUCAAAUCAGCCAUUAUGUGAAGGAGAUGCAGUCCAUGUUCUGCAACUGCUAUGAGAGAUCUAUGCCAGAAGCUCUCCUCCCUCUCAGAUAUUUGUCCUGAUCCAGCCUGCUCCCAUCUCCAUGAGACUCUUCCUGCUCUUGCCUAGCUGCAGUCCUUGGUGGGGUCUGAAUCUACUUUCAGCCUUCCAGGCAAGUGGGCAAGUCCCAGGGGAUGCAGCUGCCAGGCCAUGACCAGCUCUGCCCACCCUGUGGGGAAGUGACCAGAAAAACUCCUGAUGCCAAGAGCAGUGUUGUGAAGCCAGAGCAGCACAUGGUGCUUGUUCCACCUCUGAAUCUGGAUGAAGACACAGAGACAUGGGACAGCACCUGUCCCUGUGGGCUCCCUGGUCCCAGCCUGUCACUCUGAAGAAACUGACAGGGGAUGCAUCUUUGCUACUACAAACAUGAGGCAUUAGGCCGUGAACUGGUGGUGACAGGCCUGCUGCCUCUUGUGAUCUGUAUGCAUGAAUUGUUAUAUUACAGAUUUUAGAGAUGGCAACAGACCAACAAAAAUAACUCCUCCUUCACUCUGGGUCUCACUGAACACUUGGUGUUCUAUGAAGAACUAGACUUCCCCUUUCUGCAGCAGAGGUGAACAGAGCAAAAACUACAAUGUGAACUGUAUUUGUGAUCACUGAAAUCAAUUUAUAAUUAUAAUUUUAAAGCUAGUCUUCUGAUUUUGGAGUAUUUUCUCUUAGUAAUGCACAGCACAGGCAAACCUGCAUAUGUGCAUUUAGGCUGCAGGUAAGAGUACGCUAGAGGGAAGUGAGACACAGGGGAACCCCAUUUACAUCAGAUGGGAAGGGCAGAGACAGCCCAGAAAGAGACAUUUGAUGGAAGGUGCAGAUCAGGGUGUCCAUGAGGAAACCAUAUCCUGGAAGGGGGCUGGCAGUUCAGGUAAGCAUUCAAAUGCAUGCAUUUGUACACAAAUAACAUAAACCUAACCCUGAGGCGAGUUUAUUUUCAAACCAGUCACUGUGGCCUUACAACAUACAAAUAUAACCCUUAAUUCUUGCUGUCCCCCUAGAAGAAGAGCAGGAGAAGCCAGGAGAAGACUGCUUCUGGAGAGGCAGUGGAGCCCUCAGCCAAGCCCUGCCAGCCACCUGCAGCCCCCCGGGAACAGGCCCUGGAGUACUGCAGCUCCUGUAAUCUUCCACAUCUGUAUGCUGGAAGGGGAACAGUCAUUUUGCCAGUGUUUUAGUAAAGGAUUAAAAAAAUAAUUAGGAUUUAUAUAUGUUCAAAAGGAAGGGGAACAGUGCAGCAAGUCACAAGAAGUUGAUUAAGUCAGGUUGAUUGGCUCUGCCUAGAAUUACAGCAGUGAGUGUGAAGGUUUAGGAAAAUAGCUGAUAGCCUAUUACCAUGAUGAAGUGCAGCUUAACACUUCUUUUUAUAUUUUAGAGGACUAACAGAUGAGUUCCCUAUGGAUUUUUUUUUCCUAUUACAUGAAAUAACUAUAGAACCCGAACUAUAAUCCCUCACUAACUUACACAUUAGCCCAGGGCAAUAAAGAUGUUUUUAUUGGAGGCAGAUUUCAUGAAAAGUUGUUCAGUUUUAUCUCUGAGUACUGUACUAUGCUGAAGGCAUUUAAGUGUCCUGUUGGGACACUCUGUCCUGGAAAGCAGUUACUCUCAAAAGGACAGCAAGGUCAUUGGAGAAGCUGUAUUUUCUGCCAGAGGAUCCUGCCCUUUCCCCUCAGUUCAUCUGCCACUUUUUUGUUUUGGCUGUGAACAGAAGCCAAGACACACUGUCAGACUGCAAUCCCUGCCUGCACUCUGAUGGGUGCAGAUCCAGACCCAGACAAACAUGGUUGAAAGGGAGGCCAUAGUCCUCUGGCCUGCUUCCUCCAGCUUUGCCAAGUGUUCCUUCCUCUCUUCCUGCCAGCAGUAAAGGAUCCAAUGUCUCUGCAGCAAGGUUUCAAGUUUUCUAUUCAGUUCACACCUGUUACCUGGGCUGUUCCCCAAACCAUCAGGCUGGUUCCCUGCUAUAAGUUGCCACUUUUCCUGUCUUUUCUAGCAGCAGUUAAAACUUGUAAUCCAACUCCUAUCAUCUUAGCUUGAUUUUUCACAGAACCAUUUUCCCUACCCUUGACAAAUGCAGCAGUGGUUCAACCAUGCCUUCCCCAACAGCUCUUGCUGUCCAGGCUGCCUCUCUCUGCCCGUGCUGCCUGGCUAAUGCCCUUGAUUUCACAGAUAACAUAACCCACUCAUCAUUCACCCAUCACUUGGUAUCAGGCUGCAACUGUCUCUUGGCUCUCAUUGUUGUUACAGGAUGGUUAUGUUUUCUAUCAAGACCUUAAUGCCUUCUCCUCUUAUUCCUGCGCUUUCUCUCCCUUCAGCUGACGCCCCGUAAUUACUCAUAAACCUGGCUUCUAGCUGUGAUUCAAUGCUGCACGUUUGUUUCUGCGGCUUCUGUGUUUGGAGGACUGUUGGCAGUUCAGGGGUCCUCUCUCUUUCUUGGGUGUUCCCUGCUCCCCCGCAGACACUCCCAUCUUUCUUUUGGAUUUUUUUGUCCAGUUCCAUUCCUAUAGAAGCUCAAAUACAUACAAAAGGUGUGAGGAUAUCCCCUCUCUAGAGCCAAAGACUUUAUAAUCUUUGCUAGUAGCUAAUAGCAUCGGGAAGUCCUAAUUUACUGCUACAUAUGUGCAGCAGUGUAUGGUCGUAGCAGCAGUACUACUUGGGCUUAGUCCCCUUCCGGUUGUAUUCCAAUCAGCUGGCCUCUGUCUGGAAGGCAGAUGAGGAGCUGGCAUUAGUGGUUUCUUUCCAGAAACUAUUAUGCAGAGAAUAAUCUCUGAUUGAUGAGGUCGUGCUCCACUACCUUACAAAGAAACACGUGUCUAUCCUAGGUCUAAACAUAAGGCCAUACUUGGCAACCA
Long non-coding RNA from Hirundo rustica (Barn swallow), 4355 nucleotides. RefSeq lists it as uncharacterized. NCBI's taxonomy places the organism in Eukaryota, Metazoa, Chordata, Aves, Passeriformes, Hirundinidae. The record is from RefSeq and is a predicted model, not a curated record. The transcript has 15 exons.